This 873-nucleotide ribosomal RNA is filed under the name uncultured marine bacterium. RNAcentral's name for it is "bacterial SSU rRNA". It matches the Rfam family "Bacterial small subunit ribosomal RNA", at positions 28 to 896 of the family's 1533-position model. The record is from RNAcentral.
AUUGAACGCUGGCGGUAGGCUUAACACAUGCAAGUCGUGCGAGAAAGUAUCUUCGGAUAUGAGUAGAGCGGCGGACGGGUGAGUAACGCGUAGGAAUCUACCUAGUAGAAGGGGAUAGCCCGGGGAAACCCGGAUUAAUACCGUAUACCUCCUUUGGGAGAAAGAAGGCCUCUCUUUGAAGCUUUCGCUAUUAGAUGAGCCUGCGUAAGAUUAGCUUGUUGGUGAGGUAAAGGCUCACCAAGGCGACGAUCUUUAGCUGGUCUGAGAGGACGAUCAGCCACAUUGGGACUGAGACACGGCCCAGACUCCUACGGGAGGCAGCAGUGGGGAAUAUUGGACAAUGGGCGCAAGCCUGAUCCAGCCAUACCGCGUGUGUGAAGAAGGCCUUCGGGUUGUAAAGCACUUUAAGCAGGGAGAAAAAGUUAUAAGUUAAUACCUUAUAACCCUGAUGUUACCUGCAGAAUAAGCACCGGCUAAUUCCGUGCCAGCAGCCGCGGUAAUACGGAAGGUGCAAGCGUUAAUCGGAAUUACUGGGCGUAAAGCGCGCGUAGGUGGUUUGUUAAGUUGGAUGUGAAAGCCCUGGGCUCAACCUAGGAACUGCAUCCAAAACUAACUCACUAGAGUACGAUAGAGGGAGGUAGAAUUCAUAGUGUAGCGGUGGAAUGCGUAGAUAUUAUGAAGAAUACCAGUGGCGAAGGCGGCCUCCUGGAUCUGUACUGACACUGAGGUGCGAAAGCGUGGGUAGCGAACAGGAUUAGAUACCCUGGUAGUCCACGCCGUAAACGAUGACAACUAGCUGUUGGGAGACAAAGUCUUUCAGUGGCGCAGCUAACGUUUUAAGUUGUCCGCCUGGGGAGUACGGCCGCAAGGCUA